This 264-nucleotide ribosomal RNA is filed under the name uncultured bacterium. Its description in RNAcentral is "partial 16S ribosomal RNA". The record is from RNAcentral.
CUGCUGCCUCCCGUAGGAGUUUGGGCCGUGUCUCAGUCCCAAUGUGGCCGAUCAACCUCUCAAUUCGGCUACGCAUCAUUGCCUUGGUAAGCCUUUACCCUACCAACUAGCUAAUGCGCCGCGGGCCCAUCCAAAAGCGGUAGUAUAGCCACCUUUUACAUAGUUACCAUGCGGUAACUAUGGUUAUGCGGUAUUAGCACCUGUUUCCAAGUGCUAUCCCCCUCUUUUGGGCAGGUUGCCCACGUGUUACUCACCCGUUCGCCA